Molecule: ribosomal RNA, 253 nt
Filed under: uncultured bacterium
Lineage: Bacteria
Description: partial 16S ribosomal RNA
Rfam family: Bacterial small subunit ribosomal RNA
Source: RNAcentral
UACAGAGGUCUCAAGCGUUGUUCGGAUUCAUUGGGCGUAAAGGGUGCGUAGGUGGCGCCGUAAGUCAGGUGUGAAAUUUCGGAGCUCAACUCCGAAACUGCAUUUGAUACUGCGGUGCUUGAGGACUGGAGAGGAGACUGGAAUUCACGGUGUAGCAGUGAAAUGCGUAGAUAUCGUAAGGAAGACCAGUGGCGAAGGCGGGUCUCUGGACAGUUCCUGACGCUGAGGCACGAAGGCCAGGGGAGCAAACGGG